Molecule: unclassified non-coding RNA, 482 nt
Filed under: Hevea brasiliensis (rubber tree)
Lineage: Eukaryota; Viridiplantae; Streptophyta; Magnoliopsida; Malpighiales; Euphorbiaceae
Source: RNAcentral
UGAAAAAUAUUACAUCCACAGCACUGAACAAAAACAGUACCAUCAGUGUAAGCGUGCGGAUUGAUAGCGCGAGUGGUCCUUUGACCGCAAACAUUGCAGGUGAAGGCGACGCGCAUUCUCCUACGUGGCGAUUUGGUGAAGAGGGACCAUGGUAAGGUCGAAUCCUUCUCCGUAUCGGAUCCUUCAUCGGCUCCUGCAGGCAUCGGGGGCCCUUCCAUGCCGGAACCAGUAGUCCAGCCUCUUACAGAAGCAGCACUUAGAACCAAUCCCAUGACCGCGUCCUUGGAAAGAGUAGGGUUGUUGAAGAAGGGGACGAUGCUAGAAUCGUUGGAUUCAGAUCAGAGAUCAAAAUCGUUUUCAUUCUCUGAAUCGCAGGAAUAAUUCUGUUAACGAAAAUGAAGAUAAAGGAGAGAAAUUAGAGGCAAAAGAAAAGAAGGAAGGGAAGCAACAUACUCUUGGAAGAAGUUUGGAAUCGGAGGAUU